GUGCUCACUUUGGCAGUACAUAGACUAAAACUAGAAUGAUACAGAGAUUAGCAUGGCCACUGUGCAAGGAUGACAACAAAUUUGCAAAGGAUUCCAUAAAAAAA
Small nuclear RNA from Manis pentadactyla (Chinese pangolin), 104 nucleotides. The record is from RefSeq and is a predicted model, not a curated record. Lineage: Eukaryota; Metazoa; Chordata; Mammalia; Pholidota; Manidae.